CACGGGGGGAGCAAGCGUUGUUCGGAAUCACUGGGCGUAAAGCGCGUGUAGGCGGCCAAGUAAGUGGGAUGUGAAAUCCCCCGGCUUACCCGGGGACCUGCAUCUCAUACUGCUUGGCUUGAGUAUGGGAGAGGAUGAGGGAAUUCCUGGUGUAGCGGUGAAAUGCGUAGAUAUCAGGAGGAACACCGGUGGCGAAGGCGGCCCACUGGCUCGAUACUGACGCUGAGGUGCGAAAGCGUGGGGAGCAAACAGG
This 253-nucleotide ribosomal RNA is filed under the name uncultured bacterium. RNAcentral describes it as "partial 16S ribosomal RNA". It matches the Rfam family "Bacterial small subunit ribosomal RNA", at positions 524 to 776 of the family's 1533-position model. The record is from RNAcentral.